Molecule: non-coding RNA, 498 nt
Organism: Coturnix japonica (Japanese quail)
Lineage: Eukaryota; Metazoa; Chordata; Aves; Galliformes; Phasianidae
Source: RefSeq, a predicted model, not a curated record
CCGGACGUUGGUCCGGAGCGGCACCUCCCUCCCACUGCCGCCCGGCCUCGGCCCCCCGCCCCGCUCCGCGCUCCUCCCCGCGCCGCCGGCGGUUGUACCUCGGUAGACGGAAGCCGAGGAGGGAACGAGUGAGUCGGGGAGGUCGGAGCAGCGCGAUGGGGGAUUCCAAAGUGAAGGUGGCGGUGCGUGUCCGCCCUAUGAACCGGCGAGAUGAUGAGGAAGCAAGCAUGAAAAGGGAACUGCAGCCAGGGAGUGUGAGGAGGUGAAGAAGAAGGCAGGGAUCCAAGAAACGUGGUCACGAGGAAUGUUCUUUCCUUCCCUCUGCACCAAAGGGCUUAAAACUACAAACCUGUCAGAUGGCUGCAACUGGAGGAAUUGAAGCUUUGAAACGUUCCUGGUGUUUACAUGUGGUGGUAGUGGUUGUCUUCAGUGUUUGAAUUAUGAAUUUCUUAAGGCGAGGGUUUAUUAGGUUAAUAAAAGUGGUAUGUUUAACCAUUA